RNAcentral lists this ribosomal RNA (468 nucleotides) under uncultured bacterium. RNAcentral's name for it is "partial 16S ribosomal RNA". It matches the Rfam family "Bacterial small subunit ribosomal RNA", at positions 28 to 507 of the family's 1533-position model. The record is from RNAcentral.
GACGAACGCUGGCGGCGUGCUUAACACAUGCAAGUCGAACGGAAAGGCCCUGCUUUUGUGGGGCGCUCGAGUGGCGAACGGGUGAGUAACACGUGAGUAACCUGCCCUUGACUUUGGGAUAACUUCAGGAAACUGGGGCUAAUACCGGAUAGGAGCUCCUGCUGCAUGGUGGGGGUUGGAAAGUUUCGGCGGUUGGGGAUGGACUCGCGGCUUAUCAGCUUGUUGGUGGGGUAGUGGCUUACCAAGGGUUUGACGGGUAGCCGGCCUGAGAGGGUGACCGGCCACAUUGGGACUGAGAUACGGCCCAGACUCCUACGGGAGGCAGCAGUGGGGAAUAUUGCACAAUGGGCGGAAGCCUGAUGCAGCAACGCCGCGUGCGGGAUGACGGCCUUCGGGUUGUAAACCGCUUUCGCCGGUGACGAAGCGUGAGUGACGGUAAUGGGUAAAGAAGCACCGGCUAACUACGUG